RNAcentral lists this transfer RNA (62 nucleotides) under Pseudogarypus banksi. RNAcentral's name for it is "tRNA-Arg". Lineage: Eukaryota; Metazoa; Arthropoda; Arachnida; Pseudoscorpiones; Pseudogarypidae. The record is from RNAcentral.
UUUUCUAGAGUGAUUAUCAUAGCUAAGUUCGAUUUAGAAGUAAUAAGAAAUUUGUAGUAGAU